UACGGAGGGUGCGAGCGUUGUCCGGAAUCACUGGGCGUAAAGGGCGCGUAGGCGGCGCGAGUAGUCAACGGUGAAAGCCCGGGGCUCAACCCCGGGUCGGCCGUCGAUACUCUCGUGCUUGAGCACUGUAGAGGCAGAUGGAAUUCCGGGUGUAGCGGUGGAAUGCGUAGAGAUCCGGAAGAACACCGGUGGCGAAGGCGGUCUGCUGGGCAGUUGCUGACACUGAGGCGCGACAGCGUGGGGAGCAAACAGG
RNAcentral lists this ribosomal RNA (253 nucleotides) under uncultured bacterium. RNAcentral's name for it is "partial 16S ribosomal RNA". It matches the Rfam family "Bacterial small subunit ribosomal RNA", at positions 524 to 776 of the family's 1533-position model. The record is from RNAcentral.